GAUGAACGCUAGCGGCAGGCCUAAUACAUGCAAGUCAAGGGGAUCGCAAGAUCACCGGCGGACGGGUGCGUAACGCGUACACAACGUACCCUUGAGCGGGGGAUAGCAUUGGGAAACUGGUGGUAAAACCCCAUGGUGUUGGAAUGUGGCAUCACAAACCAACUAAAGGAUACACUCAAGGAUCGGUGUGCGUCUGAUUAGCUAGUUGGCGGGGUAACGGCCCACCAAGGCGACGAUCAGUAGGGGGUGUGAGAGCAUGGGCCCCCCCACAUGGGUACUGAGACACGGACCCAACUCCUACGGGAGGCAGCAGUAAGGAAUAUUGGACAAUGGACGGAAGUCUGAUCCAGCCAUGCCGCGUGCAGGAUGAAGGCGCUCAGCGUUGUAAACUGCUUUUGGAUGGGAAUAAUAACCUCGACGUGUCGGGGCUUGAAGGUACCAUCAGAAUAAGCACCGGCUAACUCCGUGCCAGCAGCCG
RNAcentral lists this ribosomal RNA (478 nucleotides) under uncultured bacterium. Its description in RNAcentral is "bacterial SSU rRNA". It matches the Rfam family "Bacterial small subunit ribosomal RNA", at positions 28 to 517 of the family's 1533-position model. The record is from RNAcentral.